ACCCUAGAGGACUAGUGGUUAGGCCACAGCACUCCCACUGCUGUGGCCCGGGUUCGAUUCCCACCCAGGAAA
This 72-nucleotide transfer RNA is filed under the name Pangasius djambal. RNAcentral's name for it is "tRNA-Gly". Lineage: Eukaryota; Metazoa; Chordata; Actinopteri; Siluriformes; Pangasiidae. The record is from RNAcentral.